This is a long non-coding RNA of Notothenia coriiceps (black rockcod), 522 nucleotides long. RefSeq lists it as uncharacterized. NCBI's taxonomy places the organism in Eukaryota, Metazoa, Chordata, Actinopteri, Perciformes, Nototheniidae. The record is from RefSeq and is a predicted model, not a curated record. The transcript has 3 exons.
GUCCAUGUAAGAGUUCGGUACCGUUCUCCAUGUUUCUGUCCCCGCAACUUCUUUCUGUUUCAGUUCAUGUGAGCGCUGCAGCAGUCUUAGGCCCGCCCAAAAUGCUCUCAUUGGUUGAGACCCGUGAUGACGCCCAUCCUAAGCCAAUACUGAUCAACACCCCACCCCUCCUGCGACCCAAGAUUUGUCUGGUGCCCUAGCGCUUUGGGUGACGUUGAGUCGGUAGACUGGGCUCCCACUGUUAGCCUCGGUUACCACACAACAAGUAAGCCCAGAUCAGAGGCAUCUCUUCGACGAGAGCAGAGGAUGGAGCUCAAGGAAGACCAACAAAGACAAUCAGAAUGUGCAGAGGCUUUGUUGGAUCUCCUGCAGACAACCGAGAGCCCAGAACCGACGCAACCCCCGUCUGACAGCCCACAACCAGAGGACACCAGUGGGAUAUUAAAUGACCAACAAGAUGCAGGAUGCCUGACUGAUUUAACGAUGGAGGACAUCGAGAGGAUGGAGGAUGUUCUGAGAGAC